CUUAACCGAAUGAGCUACACAGGUGCCCCUAGAUUUUCAUAUUCUUAAGUAGUUUUGAGAUGCCCUGAUAUACUUUUCUUCUUUGGGAAAAAUUUAUUUUAACACUCAUCCAAAUGUGCCCUCCUAGUAGGUGGUCAUGAAAGGAAGACUCUUAAAAAAAAAAAAAAGACUCUUCAUUGCUUCUUAUCUAGAAAGGAUAGGUUUGAUCUAUAUUAGACCCUAGUUAGAACCAAAUCUGCUCGUUAUCUAGAUGCUGUCUAAUGAGAUUUUAUUUUUCUGCCAGUCAGCUUCACAGCAUGUCUAAGUCCGAGAAAUUUGAAAAAUAUUAUACUUCUCUAGAUUCCUCUUCCAGAGAAAGGAACUUGGCUGAAGAGCUUAUACCCAGGAGUGUGGCUGGAUAAUGCGUUGUUUGGGAGCAAAAGUAAUAAUGAAACUACUAAAUCAGAUUUCCAAAUCCCAACACACAGAUUUAGGCACGUAAUAUUGAAAAUUGUGGACAAUAAAAAAAUAAAAUAAGGCAAAAUAAAAAUUCCAGCAUUUUCUCCUAUCUCUCAGAUGAGAAAGUCAACUUCUUUCUAUGUUACUAAAUGGACUUGUGUCCCCCCAGAAAUGGUUAAUGUGCCUUCUAAACCCAGUAUCUAGAUGCCCACUGGCCCACAUAGAACACAGGAUGGAUAACAAGAUUGAGCAUCUCAGCUGUCUUUUAUGAGAAAAUGCCAGUUAAGAGAAAACUUUUCAAAAGAAACAGUAUGACAAGAAGGGAGAGUAAUAGAAUACUGUCUUUCUUCAGAGGAAAACUAUUUCUCUUAUCAGACUCCUUCCACUUAAGGUAAGCCUUGUGUGGAGGAGGCCAGAGGAAAAAGUGUGGGCACAUUUAGGGAACUAGGACACCUUUCAAAAAACAGUUUUCCUUUCUUUAUAGGUAAAUAAAUUAUGGUGGUUAAGCCCCUGCUAUUUAGAGUCAGAUUACCAGGGUUCAAGCUCUUGCUUAGCAGUUAUAGGGCUAUGGGUAUGAUCAUUCAUUCAUUCAUUUAUUCAUUUAUUCUGAGCACUUUCUCUGUGCCAGUUACUAGAGGUUAUAGGUUUGAACAAGACAGACAAGAUCCCUGCUCUCCUGGAGCUGACGUUCUAGUGAGGGGAGACAGAAAAUAAAUAAACAUGCAUGCAAAAGAAGUCAGAGAAUUUUAGGUCAGGAUGAAAGAAGAAAAUCAUACAGAGGAUCAUCGGCAGGGGGAGCAGGGGCUACGUUAAGUUAAUAUGCACGCUGAGGUGGCGACCUGAAUAGUGUGAAGUACCCAGAUCAGAGGAACAGCUUUUCAGGCAGAGGGAACAGCAAAUGCAGAAGAUGCAUUCUGAUGAGCCUUGCAGGCAGGUGGGGACUGGUUUUGACUUUAUCCGAUAAACUGGCGAGUCCUUGAAGGACUUUAAACAGGGGAAUGAUAUACUCUGAGCUGCCCUGGUGAAAGAGACCUCACGUCCUCACCCAUGCUUCAGGGAUAACACAGGAGGAACACCAGACCAAACUCGUUCCAGAUAAUGGGGGAAUUCACGGGACGCUGCUCCACAUGAGGUCAGAAUUUAAGGCGGAUUGCCCAGUAUGGAGGCUGUGGUUCCUGAUGGUAGUGGUAGAAUGAGGGCGGAAAGUCAGGACUUCAUAGUAAGCUGAUUAACGAAGAAAGGACAAAUCUUCCACAGGCCGGUUGGUGUGGCUGAUUCUGCCGGUAUUCAUGUUUAGUGCUUAUGGGAGUGAAUCAGCAGCUUUCAGGAGAGACUCUUUCCACUGGGAGGAAAUUGAGGCGCAGAAGGGGAAGUGACUACUCAGUCAGCGAGAGGCAGAGCUGGGAUUCAGACUCAGUGAAAAGUGUGGCCAAUCACUGUAACUGGAAUAAAUCAAGAUUAUAAACGGUCUUGUCACAUGAGGUCCAGUUCUGCUUUCUGAAGAGCAGGUAUGGAGCGUCUGGUAAGUGACCCAUGCGGGCGGGGUACUCCAUGACCCUCACCGUUCAUUCUUGUCAUGUCCCUGAUUUUCAAGGUCAUCCAUUUCCUUUUCACUGCACCCCUGCCACAGGUCCUUAUAUUUCUCUGUGUUUUGUUUGUGUGUUUAUAUGUGUGUUUAAGGGGAUUUUGAGGCACUGAAAGGCUAAAUAGUUUGUGUGAGACUUGACAGCUAGAAAGUAGCCUAGGAGGGUUGCAACUUCAGAGUCUGCACUCAACCACUGCCUAACACUACUGUCCUCUAGAGGAAAGACAGCAAAGCAGGCAGUGAAAACUACUGGGGCUGUGUCUACACAAGCAAAGGCAACUGGAGAAAAGCAGGCAAUAAUCCAGAUAAUUGAGAAUAUAGCAAAUUUUAGAAAAAGGUCUGUGUUA
Molecule: long non-coding RNA, 2370 nt
Organism: Felis catus (domestic cat)
Lineage: Eukaryota; Metazoa; Chordata; Mammalia; Carnivora; Felidae
Exons: 3
Source: RefSeq, a predicted model, not a curated record